AGUAAAAUAGCUUUGGGGGCAUUUUACACUUUUUUCAUUGGCUUGAAAUAUAGUGUAGGGGAGGAAAGACUUGACCCUCCUAGGUUCGGUAGCUGAGUCUAUGAAAUACAUUGACAGGAGGAAAGCUAUUAAAGGAAUUUCACAUUCUGCAACUCUGGGGCAAAAAGAAGAGUGAGUGAUCAGCUGGCAGGGGCUGCUGUGCUCGGCCCGGAGAAAGAAGGGAUUCCUAGAUCUUCCACUCCCUCCCUGCACCCCACACUGGAGAAGGAGCGUUAAACUGACUAUUAUGGGAAAGGAAAGCCCAAGUUGAAGUUCUUCCAGUUGCAGAAGGUGGGAACUUGGCCUCACUUUUGCCUCUGAUGUUCCUUGGAGAACCUCGAGUUAUGCAACUAGAAAGACCGUGGCUUGUGACGGAGGCUAUGUAGGCCCUGG
Lemur catta (Ring-tailed lemur) is the source of this 432-nucleotide long non-coding RNA. RefSeq lists it as uncharacterized. Lineage: Eukaryota; Metazoa; Chordata; Mammalia; Primates; Lemuridae. The record is from RefSeq and is a predicted model, not a curated record. The transcript has 3 exons.